This 323-nucleotide long non-coding RNA is filed under the name Homo sapiens (human). Its description in RNAcentral is "non-protein coding lnc-WARS-2:9". Lineage: Eukaryota; Metazoa; Chordata; Mammalia; Primates; Hominidae. The record is from RNAcentral.
UGUGUGUUCUGAAAGUAGCCCAGCGGGGCCCUUCCUUGCUCUUUUUCCUUGGCCCCAGGGCAAGCUGUGAGUGGCAGGCACCAGACCAGCCUUGUGCUUGCUGGCAGCGCUACACGUGGCCGCUCUUCCCACUGAGCAAAGGCACAGCUGACGGCAAGGCAGGAUGCGCACCCUGAGCUGGGUUUGCGGGAGACUUCCAGUCUCCUUUUCUGGUGAGCCUAGGCCCUUGGGACUGAAAGAAUCCAAGAUCUGGAUCUCCUCUAUAGCGCCCAGAACCACAGCCACCGUCCUGAAGCACACGGCCUUCACACGUUUCUACACGA